RNAcentral lists this long non-coding RNA (236 nucleotides) under Olea europaea (common olive). Its description in RNAcentral is "long non-coding RNA (OEUR_LNC003692)". The record is from RNAcentral. Lineage: Eukaryota; Viridiplantae; Streptophyta; Magnoliopsida; Lamiales; Oleaceae.
ACUGAAAUUACCGCAUUAGCAUACUACCAUCAAUUACAUCAAUGGCCCAAUGGUAGUUCCAUAAUCAUUUCAUUUCAUCUACUUCUUUGUCAUAUUUUCUUGCUCUGAGAAAUCACUUUCACCAACUAUUUUGCACCUAAUUCAUCUCACAUGUUAGCAAAAUUCAAAGCAUAUAUUGUGAAGGAUGGGAAAGGGCUUUGCCACAAGCGUUAUUCCAGUUACUUUAGGUUUGACAC